GCUCCGAGUCGGGGACACUCACAGGCUAGUAGGACCUCGGAGAGAAAGUGCAGGGGACUCUUUACAGGAAGCAAGGAGGGAGAAAUCAGUGCCGGGAGGGAAGGGGAGCGGCAAGGCGCUCGCAGGACCGGAAGCCCACUGCAGAAGGCCGGCUCGGGUUACCUGGGGUGCAGGAGUAGCUGCGGGUCCCUUGUGAAGUGCCCGGAUGAAGCUCCAGCACUCACGCGCCUUCCGCACGGAGCACAGCGCCAUCUUGAGAAGGGCGGAGCCGCCUGGCCCGGAGUGACGUUUGCGGGCAAGCCAGAGGAUUCCCUGAGCUCUGCCUAAUAUUGACUUGUGGGUCUCUGCAUCUGCUUUCAUCAGUUGCUGGAUGAAGCCUCUCUGAUGACUACUGGACUAGGCACCAAUCUAUGUGUAUAGCAGAAUAUCGUUAGGCAUCAUGACAUUGACAUUUUCCUCCUCCAGUCAUGUUUGGUUCUAUCCUUGGUCUCUCAGUCAUCCAGCCUGUGAAUCCUGGUGCUCCAGGCAGGGUCAGGGGUGGGCUUGCUCUCCUAGCAUGGGUUUUAGGCUAGACUGGUCAUUGGUUUAAUGUUGUCCCUCACUCAGACAAGAAAGCUUCAGGUGCAAACAUCUAGUUGUAACUUUGAAGUAGCAGAGGAACAAGGCUCCUGCAGACAUCACGAAGGUGCUCCCAGCCUGUUAAGACAGGUUGGCAGUGGGCUAGACGCAGGCCCGCAAGCGCCUUUAAAAAUACUGUUGUCACGUUUUUUAAUUAUUUGUAAAAUUUCACACGGUGUAUUUUGAUCGUAUUCUUUUCCCUUCCCCAGGUUUUCCUAGAUCCUCCCACCUCCCUACUCACCCAACUUCAUGUUCUUUCUUCCUGCCCCCUCUCAAAAAAACAGCAAAACCUCAAAAGACAAAAACAUUCCAAACCCAAACAAACAAAUAAAAAAAAGCACAUAAAGAAACACGGAGUCCCUUUCAUGUUGACCAACUAUUCCUGAGCCUGAGGCCUGCCCUGGAGUGUGGUUGAUAUACCCAGUGUCACUCCACUGGAGAAAACUAAUUCUCCCCUGCCCAGUAGGUAUCAAUUGCAAAUAGCUUCUUGGUUAGGGGUGGGACUUCGUGCCCACUUCCUCUUCUCUGUGCUGGGAUUUUCUGGCUUGACUUUGUGCAGCUCUUGCGCAUGCUGUCAUCGGCUCUGUGAGCUCAUAUGUGCAUCAGCCCUGCUGUGUCUGGACUGUGUGUGCAGGCAGGCCUUCCAGGGUCACAUUUGGGGCAGGCUGAGAAUCCCAAAGACUAGCAUGGAACACACAAAUGACAUGUAACUAUGCUACGGGUAGUAAUUCAUUAAGAUCAAACACUUGUUUUUAAGAUCUGUGCACUCAUACUGAUACCAGAAAAGAAAACAGGAGAAAGGCAAGCUCUCCUUUACAGGAGAAUGCCAACUGUUAUAUGUAAAGUGAAUAUUAAAAUCACAAAUUUACCAUUUUUCAACACCAGUGAAGUCACCGGUUCCAAUAAAGCACAUCCCUGGUAAACUGCCUGGGAAUGACAGAACUCGCAGACUGAGACGGGCUAUCAAAGAGGGAAAGAGGCUCCUUCCCAACGGAGACAGACGAUGCCCCACCACUAAAUGUCUCAGCAGCAUUGCCAGUGGGGCUGACGCCGGGAAUACCUGCUGUGACACAGUGGCGGAUGGACGCUAUCACUUAAGCAGCGUACACAAAAUAUUUAACCUGCCUCCGAAGAUGAGAAAUCAAUUAGAUACAUAUUGUUAGUUGUCCUUCAAUACAACUAGCUUGGGCUUUUGAAAAAUAUUAAGGCCACAAAGUGAAAAUUUUGGGUGGGGAGGGGGGCACUGUUCUAGAUGACAGGAAAUAAAGAUAUGGAAUACAGUG
Molecule: long non-coding RNA, 1901 nt
Organism: Peromyscus californicus insignis
Lineage: Eukaryota; Metazoa; Chordata; Mammalia; Rodentia; Cricetidae
Exons: 2
Source: RefSeq, a predicted model, not a curated record